RNAcentral lists this unclassified non-coding RNA (373 nucleotides) under soil metagenome. Its description in RNAcentral is "partial contains internal transcribed spacer 2 and large subunit ribosomal RNA". The stretch from base 2 to 119 matches the Rfam family "5.8S ribosomal RNA", at positions 37 to 154 of the family's 154-position model. The record is from RNAcentral.
GUGAAGAACGUAGCGAAAUGCGAUAAUUAAUGUGAUUUGCAGAAUUCCGUGAAUCAUCGAGUCUUUGAACGCACAUUGCGCCUCAUGGCAUUCCGUGAGGCAUGCCCAUCUCAGCGUUAGAAAAUAUUCUCAAAUUUUAGUUUUGUGCUAAAAUUUGGAUCAUGUCAAGGAAGCUAUUACUAUUAUUGUGAUCGCUCUUUGGAAAUUGAUAGGUCUUUGAGUUGCUACUCAUAGAACGUGAUGAAUCUUUCUUCGUUCUAUUGUAAUUCACUCUGGUAGUCCUAAAACUUGUAUGCCUGUGGCAUAUCUUGUAAUUUGACCUGAGAUUGGGUAGGGAUACCCGCUGAACUUAAGCAUAUCAAUAAGCGGAGGA